GCUAACGGCUGAACUGGCAACUUGGAGAAGUGGCAAGUCUUCCAGUAUGGGGAGCAAAACAGCUAUGGGUCAAGUCCGAGAUCUUUAGGAGAAGUCUUAUUGUGAGGGCGAGUUAUAUAACACCAUAGGACUGGCCGUCCCAUAUGAAAAGAUUAUAUUAGAAUUGAAUGAAGCUUUGUUUAUAUAUUGAUAAUGACAGUAUAUAUAUCGUGUCUUGACUAAUUGCGUGCCAGCAGUCGCGGUAAUACGUAAGAGACUAGUGUUAUUCAUCUUAAUUAGGUUUAAAGGGUACCCAGACGGUCAAUAUAGCUUAUAAAAUGUUAGUACUUGACUAGAGUUUUAUGUAAGAGGGCAGUACUUGAGGAGGAGAGAUGAAAUUUCGUGAUACCAAAGGGACUCUGUAAAGGCGAAGGCAGCCCUCUAUGUAAAAACUGACGUUGAAGGACGAAGGCACAGAGAACAAACAGGAUUAGAUACCCAAGUAGUCUUUGCAGUAAAUGAUGAAUGCCAUAGGUUAGAUUAAUAGUUAAUGUUUAUAGGCUAAUUAUUGGCUUAGCUUAGCAAACUAAUGCUAUAGACUAGACAUUAAAAAUUAUUUGGUCUAUAAAUGAAAGUGUAAGCAUUUCACCUCAAGAGUAAUGUGGCAACGCAGGAACUGAAAUCACUAGACCGUUUCUGACACCAGUAGUGAAG
This 693-nucleotide ribosomal RNA is filed under the name Fusarium redolens. RNAcentral describes it as "SSU rRNA". It matches the Rfam family "Bacterial small subunit ribosomal RNA", at positions 291 to 937 of the family's 1533-position model. The record is from RNAcentral. Lineage: Eukaryota; Fungi; Ascomycota; Sordariomycetes; Hypocreales; Nectriaceae.